AGAGUUUGAUCCUGGCUCAGAUUGAACGCUGGCGGCAUGCCUUACACAUGCAAGUCGAACGGCAGCACGGGAGCAAUCCUGGUGGCGAGUGGCGAACGGGUGAGUAAUGUAUCGGAACGUACCUUUCAGUGGGGGAUAACGUAGCGAAAGUUACGCUAAUACCGCAUAUUCUGUGAGCAGGAAAGCAGGGGAUCUUAGGACCUUGCGCUGAUUGAGCGGCCGAUAUCAGAUUAGCUAGUUGGUGGGGUAAAAGCUCACCAAGGCGACGAUCUGUAGCGGGUCUGAGAGGAUGAUCCGCCACACUGGAACUGAGACACGGUCCAGACUCCUACGGGAGGCAGCAGUGGGGAAUUUUGCGCAAUGGGGGAAACCCUGACGCAGCAACGCCGCGUGAGUGAUGAAGGCCUUCGGGUCGUAAAGCUCUGUCAGAGGGGAAGAAGUGUAUGGAUGCUAAUACCAUCUAUACUUGACGGUACCCUCAAAGGAAGCACCGGCUAACUCCGUGCCAGCAGCCGCGGUAAUACGGAGGGUGCAAGCGUUGUUCGGAUUUAUUGGGCGUAAAGCGCGUGUAGGCGGUUUUUUAAGUCUGAUGUGAAAGCCCUGGCUCAACCCAGGAAGUGCAUUGGAAACUGGAAGACUUGAAUACGGGAGAGGGUAGUGGAAUUCCUAGUGUAGGAGUGAAAUCCGUAGAUAUUAGGAGGAACACCGGUGGCGAAGGCGGCUACCUGGACCGAUAUUGACGCUGAGACGCGAAAGCGUGGGGAGCAAACAGGAUUAGAUACCCUGGUAGUCCACGCCGUAAACGAUGAGAACUAGGUGUUGCGGGUAUUGACCCCUGCAGUGCCGCAGCUAACGCAUUAAGUUCUCCGCCUGGGAAGUACGGUCGCAAGACUAAAACUCAAAUGAAUUGACGG
Molecule: ribosomal RNA, 914 nt
Filed under: uncultured delta proteobacterium
Lineage: Bacteria; Deltaproteobacteria
Also listed under: 1 other name
Description: bacterial SSU rRNA
Rfam family: Bacterial small subunit ribosomal RNA
Source: RNAcentral